GUGGGGAAUCUUGCGCAAUGGGGGAAACCCUGACGCAGCGACGCCGCGUGAAGGAAGAAGGCCUUCGGGUUGUAAACUUCUUUGAUCGGGGACGAAGCAGACGGUACCCGAGGAACAAGCCACGGCUAACUACGUGCCAGCAGCCGCGGUAAUACGUAGGUGGCGAGCGUUGUCCGGAAUUACUGGGCGUAAAGGGCGUGUAGGCGGGGGUAGAAGUCAGGUGUGAAAUACCGCGGCUCAACUGCGGGGAUGCAUCUGAAACUCUGCUUCUUGAGUGUCGGAGAGGAAAGCGGAAUUCCCAGUGUAGCGGUGAAAUGCGUAGAGAUUGGGAGGAACACCAGUGGCGAAGGCGGCUUUCUGGACGACAACUGACGCUGAGGCGCGAAAGCGUGGGGAGCAAACAGGAUUAGAAACCCUAGUAGUCC
This 425-nucleotide ribosomal RNA is filed under the name uncultured bacterium. RNAcentral describes it as "bacterial SSU rRNA". It matches the Rfam family "Bacterial small subunit ribosomal RNA", at positions 354 to 796 of the family's 1533-position model. The record is from RNAcentral.